RNAcentral lists this ribosomal RNA (253 nucleotides) under uncultured bacterium. Its description in RNAcentral is "partial 16S ribosomal RNA". It matches the Rfam family "Bacterial small subunit ribosomal RNA", at positions 524 to 776 of the family's 1533-position model. The record is from RNAcentral.
GACGUAGGAGACAAACGUUAUCCGGAGUUACUGGGCGUAAAGGGCGUGUAGGUGGUUUCGUAAGUCUGGCGUGAAAUAUCUCGGCUUAACCGAGGCAGGUCGUCGGAUACUGCGGAACUAGAGGACGGUAGAGGCGUGUGGAAUUCCGGGUGUAGUGGUGAAAUGCGUAGAGAUGUGGAGGAACACCGAUGGCGAAGGCAGCCUCCUGGGCCAACACUGACGCUCAUGCACGAAAGCGUGGGGAGCAAACAGG